This 435-nucleotide ribosomal RNA is filed under the name uncultured bacterium. Its description in RNAcentral is "partial 16S ribosomal RNA". It matches the Rfam family "Bacterial small subunit ribosomal RNA", at positions 29 to 507 of the family's 1533-position model. The record is from RNAcentral.
GCGCACGCUGGCGACAGGCUUAACACAUGCCAGUCGAGCGGGCAUCCUUGUGGUGUCAGCGGCAGACGGGUGAGUAACGCGUGGGAACGUGCCCUUCGGUUCGGAAUAACUCAGGGAAACUUGAGCUAAUACCGGAUACGCCCUUUUGGGGAAAGGUUUACUGCCGAAGGAUCGGCCCGCGUCUGAUUAGCUAGUUGGUGAGGUUACGGCUCACCAAGGCGACGAUCAGUAGCUGGUCUGAGAGGAUGAUCAGCCACACUGGGACUGAGACACGGCCCAGACUCCUACGGGAGGCAGCAGUGGGGAAUAUUGGACAAUGGGGGCAACCCUGAUCCAGCCAUGCCGCGUGAGUGAUAACAGCCUUAGGGUUGUAAAGCUCUUUUCUCCGGGACGAUAAUGACGGUACCGGAGGAAUAAGCCCCGGCUAACUUCGUG